GCAUAAUCUUUAUUUGAAAGUACCAACUGGUACACUAUGAGAUGGACCCGCGUUGUAUUAGCUAGUUGGUAGUGUAAUGGACUACCAAGGCGAUGAUACAUAGCCGACCUGAGAGGGUGAUCGGCCACAUUGGGACUGAGACACGGCCCAAACUCCUACGGGAGGCAGCAGUAGGGAAUCUUCGGCAAUGGACGAAAGUCUGACCGAGCAACGCCGCGUGAGUGAAGAAGGUUUUCGGAUCGUAAAACUCUGUUGUUAGAGAAGAAUGUUGAUUAGAGUGGAAAAUUAAUCAAGUGACGGUAUCUAACCAGAAAGGGACGGCUAACUACGUGCCAGCAGCCGCGGUAAUACGUAGGUCCCGAGCGUUGUCCGGAUUUAUUGGGCGUAAAGCGAGCGCAGGUGGUUUAAUAAGUCUGAUGUAAAAGGCAGUGGCUCAACCAUUGUGUGCAUUGGAAACUGUUAGACUUGAGUGCAGUAGAGGAGAGUGGAAUUCCAUGUGUAGCGGUGAAAUGCGUAGAUAUAUGGAGGAACACCGGUGGCGAAAGCGGCUCUCUGGACUGUCACUGACACUGAGGCUCGAAAGCGUGGGUAGCAAACAGGAUUAGAUACCCUGGUAGUCCACGCCGUAAACGAUGAGUGCUAGUUGUUUGGGGCUAUCCAGCCCUAAGUGACGCAGCAAACGCAUUAAGCACUCCACCUGGGGAGUACGAUCGCAAGAUUGAAACUCAAAGGAAUUGACGG
This 741-nucleotide ribosomal RNA is filed under the name uncultured bacterium. Its description in RNAcentral is "bacterial SSU rRNA". It matches the Rfam family "Bacterial small subunit ribosomal RNA", at positions 188 to 916 of the family's 1533-position model. The record is from RNAcentral.